Molecule: non-coding RNA, 277 nt
Organism: Coffea arabica (coffee)
Lineage: Eukaryota; Viridiplantae; Streptophyta; Magnoliopsida; Gentianales; Rubiaceae
Source: RefSeq, a predicted model, not a curated record
UGGGCUCAAUGUGGGUUUCCAUGGUUUUACGAUUUUGCCCUUCUUUUUAAAAAGCAGAUGCACCGUUGUUUGUUGCUGAGCUCAACCUAUUAUCCACUGGAUCCAAUCUAAGACGUGCAGUAGCAGAGAAAAUCACAUCAAUUGAAGGAAAAAGAUGAAAACUUUUAUGGGAUGCAAAUGCAAGUACUUGUGGAUAUAUUCCAUCCUUUUCUGUCCUCCAAAGAGUGAGGAAGAAAAGGAAGAACAACCUCUGUGAAAUUUGUGGAGGAUGGCAAAA